AGUGAACGCUGGCGGUAGGCCUAACACAUGCAAGUCGAACGGCAGCACAGUAAGAGCUUGCUCUUACGGGUGGCGAGUGGCGGACGGGUGAGGAGUACAUCGGAAUCUACUUUUUCGUGGGGGAUAACGUAGGGAAACUUACGCUAAUGCCGCAUACGACCUACGGGUGAAAGCAGGGGAUCUUCGGACCUUGCGCGAUUGAAUGAGCCGAUGUCGGAUUAGCUAGUUGGCGGGGUAAAGGCCCACCAAGGCGACGAUCCGUAGCUGGUCUGAGAGGAUGAUCAGCCACACUGGAACUGAGACACGGUCCAGACUCCUACGGGAGGCAGCAGUGGGGAAUAUUGGACAAUGGGCGCAAGCCUGAUCCAGCCAUACCGCGUGGGUGAAGAAGGCCUUCGGGUUGUAAAGCCCUUUUGUUGGGAAAGAAAAGCAGCAGGUUAAUACCCCGCUGUUCUGACGGUACCCAAAGAAUAAGCACCGGCUAACUUCGUG
Molecule: ribosomal RNA, 492 nt
Filed under: uncultured bacterium
Lineage: Bacteria
Description: partial 16S ribosomal RNA
Rfam family: Bacterial small subunit ribosomal RNA
Source: RNAcentral